RNAcentral lists this RNase P RNA (392 nucleotides) under Chitinophagales bacterium. RNAcentral's name for it is "RNase P RNA component class A". It matches the Rfam family "Bacterial RNase P class A". Rfam says of the family: Ribonuclease P (RNase P) is a ubiquitous endoribonuclease, found in archaea, bacteria and eukarya as well as chloroplasts and mitochondria. Its best characterised activity is the generation of mature 5'-ends of tRNAs by cleaving the 5'-leader elements of precursor-tRNAs. Lineage: Bacteria; Pseudomonadati; Bacteroidota; Chitinophagia; Chitinophagales. The record is from RNAcentral.
GCUACAAACUGUUCUAUCGCUGCCAAAUUUUUGGGAGAGGAAAGUCCGGGCAAUACAGAGCACCACACCACCUAACGGGUGGGAGCAAUAGCCGCAAGACUGUUGUUACAGCAAGUGCCACAGAAAAUAACCGCUAUCUAGCAAUAGAUACGCAUGGGUGAAAACGAACAAAACGUUCGCAUUAGUGCGGCAACGCACUAAGUGGGGUAAACCUUGUGGAUUGAAAGACCAAAUACAUCGGCGCGUUGUACCGCAAGGCACAACUGAGGGCUGCUCGUCCAAAUGUCGAGGGGUAGGUCGUUAGAGGUAAUUGGCAACAAGUAUCCUAGAUAAAUGAUAGAAACGACUGUAAACAGUACGUACAAAACCCGGCUUAUAGGUUUGUAGCCCUU